Molecule: ribosomal RNA, 263 nt
Filed under: uncultured bacterium
Lineage: Bacteria
Description: partial 16S ribosomal RNA
Rfam family: Bacterial small subunit ribosomal RNA
Source: RNAcentral
GUCCACGCCGUAAACGAUGUCGACUUGGAGGUUGUUCCCUUGAGGAGUGGCUUCCGGAGCUAACGCGUUAAGUCGACCGCCUGGGGAGUACGGCCGCAAGGUUAAAACUCAAAUGAAUUGACGGGGGCCCGCACAAGCGGUGGAGCAUGUGGUUUAAUUCGAUGCAACGCGAAGAACCUUACCUACUCUUGACAUCCAGAGAACUCGCCAGAGAUGGCUUGGUGCCUUCGGGAACUCUGAGACAGGUGCUGCAUGGCUGUCGU